Artibeus jamaicensis (Jamaican fruit-eating bat) is the source of this 1067-nucleotide long non-coding RNA. RefSeq lists it as uncharacterized. The transcript has 3 exons. NCBI's taxonomy places the organism in Eukaryota, Metazoa, Chordata, Mammalia, Chiroptera, Phyllostomidae. The record is from RefSeq and is a predicted model, not a curated record.
UCUCCUGGUGGGCAUUUCCUCUUCUCUCAGUUUCCGUGUUACCUGGUCAGAGUCUCGUGGUCACAGUAUGGGAAGGACAAGGCGCUGGGCCGCUGCUUUCUGCAGAAGGAGUGAGGCCAAGUCCUCUUCCCCAGUGUUCGACGUCAGGGUUGGGACAGUAACCCCAAUACCGGGGUCACCCUCCUUGCCCGCCGGUCCCGCUCCUCUCGGGCCCCAGAGUCGAUGGCGAUUGAUUGCGGUGACCGCGUAAAGCGCCAGGUUGAGGUGAAGGCGCCUUCCCAGGACCCUCCGCCCUCAGCCCACCGAGCCCUGCAGCCCGGAUGCGGGGCGGCGCCUGUCACGUCCUGCAACCCCGGCCCCGGCGUUCGGGACCGUGAGGCGCUCGUGGGUGACCCACGGUGUUGACAAGGUGGGCGACGGUGACCAGCCAAGGUGCAGCCUUCUAAGCACGUGCAGAUGUCGUUGACUGGAAAGACAACAAACUGGGAUCGGCCUUACCUCUGGUUUCAAGGGUCUUAGGCGGAGUCACGUCCUGACUGGGAAGGACAGAGGUUGCACCUUCAUUCUAAUGGUUCUGGGAGCUGGAGAAGGUCCUGCACCGAGAGAGACACAGGUCGUGUCAUGGUUUUGAAAGUCUUUUAGAUCCUGCUGAGUUAGAAAACCGAGUGGAGUGUGGUGAUGACAGUGAAGCACAGGAAGAGGAGCCAUUGUUGAAGGUUACAUGGCUGGUUGUUGUGACCUUUGAGGAUGUUGCCGUGUAUCUCUCCAGGAAAGAAUGGCUCCUCCUGGUUGAGGCUCAGAGAUGCCUGUACCUCAAUGGGAUGCUAGAGAACUCUGCUCUUAUAUCAUCGCUGGAUGAAGAAAGUCCUCAAAGAGAAACAUUUGGUCUUGGUGGAAGACAAGCAACAAACAUGGCAGAAGCACUAAAAGCCACCAAAAUCAAUGAGUUCAAAAACUUUAAGCAGUGAAAAAAAAAAAGAUCUUAAUAGGUGUAUUGCAUCAAAGGAAGAGUUCUUUGAAGGUGACUGAAGUUUCAACAUGUAAAAAUAAAUACACAAUAUUUUAUA